GCGGAGAAAAUCCGCUGGGAUGUAACCGUUUAGGUUGAACCAUAAA
This 46-nucleotide non-coding RNA is filed under the name unclassified sequences. Its description in RNAcentral is "eL15-Euryarchaeota ribosomal protein leader". It matches the Rfam family "eL15-Euryarchaeota ribosomal protein leader". The record is from RNAcentral.